GAUGAAGAACGCAGCGAAAUGCGAUACGUAGUGUGAAUUGCAGAAUUCAGUGAAUCAUCGAAUCUUUGAACGCACAUUGCACCUCUCGGUAUUCCGGGAGGUAUGCCUGUUCGAGCGUCAAUUGUACCCUCAAGCUCUGCUUGGUGUUGGGUGUUUGUUCCGCCUCUGUGUGUGAACUCGCCUCAAAACAAUUGGCAGCCGGCGUACUUGUUUCGGAGCGCAGCACAUUUUGCGAUCCAGAUCAACGUACAGCGGCAUCCAAGAAGCCUUAUUUAACGCUCUUGACCUCGGAUCAGGUAGGGAUACCCGCUGAACUUAAGCAUAUCAAUAAGCGGAGGA
RNAcentral lists this unclassified non-coding RNA (339 nucleotides) under soil metagenome. RNAcentral describes it as "partial contains 5.8S ribosomal RNA, internal transcribed spacer 2, and large subunit ribosomal RNA". The stretch from base 1 to 120 matches the Rfam family "5.8S ribosomal RNA", at positions 35 to 154 of the family's 154-position model. The record is from RNAcentral.